AGACACAACCCAAAUACUCAUCAACAGUAGAAUAUUUAACUGCAUUGCCAUUGAUUUAUACCUUAGAGCUGGGGGAAUGAAUGAAUCAGAACUAUGGAAAAAUGAACAUAGAUGAAUCUCAGGAGCAAAAUACUGACCAAUAUAUUCUAUGUGAUAAAUAAAUAAAUAAGUACAUAAAUUCAAAAAACAUAACAACCAAUAAUGUAUUAUUCAGUGAUAGUAAAAUUUUCAGAAAAAAAAUAUUAAGAAAAGUAGGGUAAUAAAGUAUACAAAAUUUAGGAUAAUGAUUACCACAGAGGCAGAAAGGAAGGGAUGGGAUCACAGAGGAGCAGAGAACAAUUUUGAAAUGUAAAAAGCCAUGUUCUUUUUCUUUAACUGUAUGGGGAAUGUGUAGACAUGUUAUAUUAUUUAUUUUUUAUAUUUCUCAGUUAUAAGAUUCCAUAUCGUCUACUUGAUACAUAGCAAAAUUAAUUUUAAACAAAAAUCUAAAGAAAAUGCUUAAAGAAAAAAGGCUAUUCAUUGAACAGGAAUCCCAGUCAGUCAAUAAACAUGAGAAGUUGUCCAAACUCACUAUUAAUCAGGACUACAAAUAAAACAAUAAUCAGAUAAUAUUCAUGAGAUUGUCAAAAAUUUUAAAAGUUGACCAGGCUAGGUGUUUUUAAGGUUUUAGGGAAACAGAUAUUCCAAUCAACUUCUCGUGAAAAGGUAAAAAGAUAUACUCACAUAGAAGACAAUUUUGUUCAUCUAUUAAUUUAACAAUGUAUAAACCUACAACCAACAAAAUUUCAAAAUGAUUCCAUUUUUAUUCAAUAUAUUUUCAAAGUAAUACCAUUUUUGAAAAAUAUAUGCACAAAAUAAUAUUUUUUUUGUCUUUUGUCUUUUUAGGGCCACACUGGCAGCAUAUGGAGGUUCCCAGGCUAGGGGUCCAAUCAGAGCUGUAGCUGCCAGCCUACGCCACAGUCGCAGCAAUGCAGGAUCUGAGCUACAUCUGUGACCUACACCAAAGCUCACAGCAAGGCCAGAUCCUUAACCCACUGAGCAAGGCCAGGAAUCAAACCCUUGUCUUCAUGGGUACUAGUUGGGUUUGUUAACCACUGAGCCAUGAUGAGAACUCCCACAAAAUAAUAUUUUUGUGAGUAUAGCUUUUAGAUAAAAAUAGACUACAUGGAUUGGAGAGAAAUGGACCAGGAGGAAUAUAGUCAAUGAGGGUUCUAUCUUCUGUAAUGUUCUAAUUAUUUUUAAGCAUAUUUAUGUAUUGCUUGUUUCAUUAUAUUUAAUCUUACAAAGGAAAUACAAUUAUAGCUGCAUACAAAAUUUGCAGCUAAUUAAAUGCAGUAUUUAAAUGAAAUUAGAGCAUUUUCAUCCUUUAAUGUUUAUAUUAAAAACUAUGAUGAACUUAAUGAGUUAGAAUAUCAGUUAAAGAAGUGAGAAAAGAAACAAGCAGAACAAGUCCAAAGAACAAAAUUAAGUAAAAAAUAAAGAUAAAAACAGGAAUAAAAAUAGAAAACAAAACUACAAUAAAGAGGAUUAACAGAGCCAGGUUGUUUAUUUGAAAAGACCAACAAAAUAGACAAUCUUGAUAAAACAGAAAGAGAAAACAAAAAUUAUCCAUGUUAGAAAAGAAAAGGAGGUGGUAACCAUAGGUGUUACGGAAGUUAAAAAGUUAAUAUGUCAUCCAAAUAAAUCUAAAAAUUUAGAUGAAAUGGACAAUUUCCUAGAAACAUAACUUAUCAAAACUGUCUGACAGGGAAAAAAACUAGAUAGACCUAUACUUGUUAAAGAAAUUAAAUCAGUUGCUGAAAAUCUAUUUACCAAGAAAUAUAAGGCCCAGAUUAUUUUAUGAGUUCUAACUUUCAAGAAACGGAUCUUUCAAUUUUAUACAACUUUCACGAAAAAAGAUAAAGGAGGAAUGCUCCCCAAAUCAUUUAAUGAAACUAUUAUAAUACUCCUGAAAUAAAUAUCAGUCAGUGGCAGUAAUAAAAAUGAAAAGUAUAUGCCAAUCUCACUUAUGAACAUAUGCAAGGGUUGUGAACACAAUAUCAGCAAGCUGAAUUCAUCAAUGUAAAAAAAAGUACACUAUGACUGAGCUGGGUUUAUCCCAGGAAUAUAAGUAUGCUCUAACAUCAGAAUAUUUUCAGUAUAAUUUACCACAUAAACAAAUGAAAAAUAAAAAAUCUCAGUAGAUAUAGAAAAAGUGUUGAAUAUGACAGAGUCCACAUAAAUUGCUUUAAAAAAUUCUUGGCAAAAUACAGAGGAAGAAUUUUCUUUAUCUGAAAACAGGUAUUCGGUUAAAAACUCAUAGAAAAUACCAUACAUGGCAGUGAACUUUUUAGAAGUGCAAUCCCUUUUGAAUUGUUUAAGUAUUCUUUUGGUGUAUGUUUUGGUUGUCUUCUGUAGUUUUUUUUUAUUUUAAGCAGUGAACAUCUUAAUGUAAAUCUAUGUAUACUUGUCACAUUAUUUCCUUAGGAAAAAUUCCAAGAAGUAGAAUUGUUCAGAUCAUGGUUUUACAUCCUAUAAAUUUUAUUAUAUUUUCCUAAACUUCUGUGAAGGAAGACUGUGCAAACUUAUAGUGACAUAAAUCAUUUCUUGAGAGUUCCCUUUUUAUUCAUCUUACUUAUUCAACAGACUUUUAUUGAGCAUUAUGAUACGCUGAGGACUCUGUUGGGGUUUGCUGUUCAGUGACAAACAAAGCAAAUAUGCUUGAUGCCCUUCUGGAGCUUACAGAUUAGUUUGGGGGUUGUCUGUAUCAUCUUCUUUAAGAAAUUGCCUGUUUGUGACUUAACCCAUUCUUCUGUGUUCUCAGUUUGAUUUUCCAGAAGAUAAGAUUUUAGGGUAUUCGGUAUCUGAAGUAUAAGGGGUACAAGGAAUGACAUCUCUUUGGAUAAAGUAACUUUGUUUUCCAAACCAAAAGUAGAACAGAUGGGAUAAAAGCACAAGAGUACUUAUAUGGGGACAAAAGAACAAAGUAUUUGAAAAGAGGUUGGUGUCCUCAAGUCAGAAAUAUAUGAUUACUUCUCCCAGGGAAAGGGAGGGAGUGCAGCACACAGAGAGGCUGGGGGCGAAGGCCAGAAACUGCAUCGUGUUCCCAGCUUUGCCUUGAGCAGGCUCUGCAAUACUCCCAUAUGGACAGUAAUUUCACUCAAAUUAAACACAGAAAUCCCUAUGGAGGAGGACCCUUCAAUACUAUUUAUCAUUCUCAGUCAGCAACUUUAAAAAAUAAUACAAAACUCAAUGAUGACAAGAUAACAAACUAGCUUCAGCUACAGGCUCCUUCCUCCCAAAUCAAGUCUGGAGAAUCUACAUAAUUGAGAAGCAUGGAACUGAGCAGAUAACAAAAACUAUUAAGGACACCUGGAAAGGCCAGAGGUGGUCUCGAAGUGGUGUGAGGAAUGGCCACACCUGCACAAUAGCCCAAGCAGGAGCCAGAAAAGAGGAUCAUUUAGAGAUUUUAACUUCUGCAUUCACCCAUUGCCCUCAUUGUUUUGGGGUGAACUUCACCUGUCACAGAUGUGGCUCUGAUUUAGUGUUUCUGUGGCUGUGGUGUAGGCCUGCAGCUGCAGAUUUGAUUUCACCCCUAGUCCAGGAACUUCCAUAUGCCACAGGUGCAGCCAU
This 3612-nucleotide long non-coding RNA is filed under the name Sus scrofa (pig). Its description in RNAcentral is "lncRNA (ENSSSCG00050070092.1)". The record is from RNAcentral. Lineage: Eukaryota; Metazoa; Chordata; Mammalia; Artiodactyla; Suidae.